Molecule: small nuclear RNA, 124 nt
Filed under: Catagonus wagneri (Chacoan peccary)
Lineage: Eukaryota; Metazoa; Chordata; Mammalia; Artiodactyla; Tayassuidae
Description: U4 spliceosomal RNA (ENSCWAG00000014531.1)
Rfam family: U4 spliceosomal RNA
About the family: U4 small nuclear RNA (U4 snRNA) is a component of the major U2-dependent spliceosome.
Source: Rfam by way of RNAcentral
AGCUUUGCACAGUGGCAGUAUCAUAGCCAAUGAGGUUUAUCUGAGACGCAAUUAUUGCUAAUUGUAACUAUUAAAAUUUAUAUUUAAAAUAUAUGCUUUGAAUGUAUAGCAAAUAGUAGAUGGU